Molecule: non-coding RNA, 100 nt
Organism: Acanthosepion pharaonis
Lineage: Eukaryota; Metazoa; Mollusca; Cephalopoda; Sepiida; Sepiidae
Source: the annotation of a GenBank genome assembly
GGCCUUAUCACGUUAAAACACCGGUUUCCGUACGAUCAGCGAAGUUAAGCAACGUCGUGACUAGUCAGUACAUAGAUAGGUCAACGCUUGGGAAUAUCAG